Molecule: ribosomal RNA, 408 nt
Filed under: uncultured bacterium
Lineage: Bacteria
Description: partial 16S ribosomal RNA
Rfam family: Bacterial small subunit ribosomal RNA
Source: RNAcentral
UGGGGAAUAUUGCACAAUGGGCGCAAGCCUGAUGCAGCCAUGCCGCGUGUGUGAAGAAGGCCUUCGGGUUGUAAAGCACUUUCAGCGAGGAGGAAGGUGGUGAACUUAAUACGUUCAUCAAUUGACGUUACUCGCAGAAGAAGCACCGGCUAACUCCGUGCCAGCAGCCGCGGUAAUACGGAGGGUGCAAACGUUAAUCGGAAUUACUGGGCGUAAAGCGCACGCAGGCGGUUUGUUAAGUCAGAUGUGAAAUCCCCGGGCUCAACCUGGGAACUGCAUUUGAAACUGGCAAGCUAGAGUCUCGUAGAGGGGGGUAGAAUUCCAGGUGUAGCGGUGAAAUGCGUAGAGAUCUGGAGGAAUACCGGUGGCGAAGGCGGCCCCCUGGACGAAGACUGACGCUCAGGUGCG